This is a long non-coding RNA of Drosophila virilis, 755 nucleotides long. RefSeq lists it as uncharacterized. The record is from RefSeq and is a predicted model, not a curated record. NCBI's taxonomy places the organism in Eukaryota, Metazoa, Arthropoda, Insecta, Diptera, Drosophilidae.
AUAAAUAUAUACUCAUUAAGAUGUCUUUCUGCUUGUCAUUUAAGUAUUUGUCUUCUGUGACAGGUAAAUAUUGGACGGGUUUGAAUUGUUUUAAUUAUUUAGUGAGUGGAAUUUCUAUUCUAAUCGGCUAACUUGGACAUAUAUCUGUUUGAUCAUGAAAUCGUAUCUUAAGGCGAACGAUUCCGAACUGUUCAACUUGCUCAUACAGUCAUUAAAUCAUUUAAUUUACAAUCAGCGCGAACCUUAAAAUAAGUUGACAAAUCUCGUUUUGAGCCAGCGUGCUCAUCAUUAGCCUCGUUGUCGCCGGAAGUUUGGACAAUGGAACAACAUGUCUCUGACAAACGACCUCUUUUAAACGGAAUUCCAUUAUCUUAUUUACGAUGUAAACAACAUCAACUAUGCUUCAUUUAAAAACGGUUUGAAUCUAAAAAACUUAGAAUAAUUUUCUAAGAAGUUUUCGAUAAUGAGCUUGAGUACUUUGUAUAUAAAAUAAUUAUGGAAUAUUAAAGAAUUUUACUAAAUAAAUAUAUGCAGACAAAUUUUUAUUGUUUUGUUGAAAUUUGCAACAAACUUUGGCAAGACGAGCCACUGGCUUGAGCCGUGAAGCCCUGAUGAAAGCUAUAAAAAACGAAUAAAUUGAAGUAUAUAAUAAAUCGCUGAAGUAUAUGGAAGUAUCUUCGUCAUAAGCAACAGAAACAUUUGGUUGACAACAGCUGAAGAAGAAUAGCAAAAAUAAUAUAUAUAAAACGUGGAUC